AACGCACCUUGCGCCCUUUGGCUAUUCCGAAGGGCAUGCCUGUUUGAGUAUCAUGAACACCUCAACUCUCAUGGUUUGCCAUGAAGAGCUUGGACUUUGGGGGUCUUGCUGGCCUAUGGUCGGCUCCUCUCAAAUGAAUCAGCUUUCCAGUGUUUGGUGGCGUCACGGGUGUGAUAACUAUCUACGCUUGUGGUGUUCUGCCAGGUAACCUUCAGCAAUGGGGGUUCGCUGGAGCUCAUAAACGUCUCCAUGGUGGGGACAGCUUUGUGAAUGUUUGAUCUCAAAUCAGGUAGGACUACCCGCUGAACUUAA
RNAcentral lists this unclassified non-coding RNA (312 nucleotides) under uncultured fungus. Its description in RNAcentral is "sequence contains ITS2". RNAcentral also lists the same sequence under 1 other name. Lineage: Eukaryota; Fungi. The record is from RNAcentral.